GCAAAGGGUCUAGAUUUAACAUUUGUAACAAUUUUGGCCAUCCUGCCUGUCUUUUCGCAAGGUGCAAACACACAGUGGUCACUGAAGCUUUAUCUCUCUUUCGAAGCAUACAAGUAUAGUACAAGUGUACAGCCCACGAGUCUAUCCGUGCAAGCUAGCUGGGCCAGAAACUUUAUUUCCAAGAGAAAAGAGCUGCGUACCAAAGCGCAAUUAACU
Molecule: long non-coding RNA, 216 nt
Filed under: Setaria viridis
Lineage: Eukaryota; Viridiplantae; Streptophyta; Magnoliopsida; Poales; Poaceae
Description: long non-coding RNA (SVIR_LNC008389)
Source: RNAcentral